RNAcentral lists this ribosomal RNA (392 nucleotides) under uncultured bacterium. RNAcentral describes it as "partial 16S ribosomal RNA". It matches the Rfam family "Bacterial small subunit ribosomal RNA", at positions 523 to 918 of the family's 1533-position model. The record is from RNAcentral.
AUACGGAGGAUCCGAGCGUUAUCCGGAUUUAUUGGGUUUAAAGGGUGCGCAGGCGGCCAUUUAAGUCAGCGGUUAAAUCGUGGGGCUCAACCCCAUUCUGCCGUUGAUACUGGGUGGCUUGAUUGCGGUCGAGGUUGGCGGAAUUCGUUGUGUAGCGGUGAAAUGCAUAGAUAUGACGAAGAACACCGAUUGCGUAGGCAGCUGACCAGACCGCAAAUGACGCUCAUGCACGAAAGUGCGGGGAUCGAACAGGAUUAGAUACCCUGGUAGUCCGCACAGUAAACGAUGAAUACUUGUUUCCGGCGAUAUAAUGUCGGAGGCAAAGCGAAAGCGAUAAGUAUUCCACCUGGGGAGUACGCCGGCAACGGUGAAACUUAAAGGAAUUGACGGGG